Molecule: ribosomal RNA, 350 nt
Filed under: uncultured Rhodococcus sp.
Lineage: Bacteria; Bacillati; Actinomycetota; Actinomycetes; Mycobacteriales; Nocardiaceae
Description: bacterial SSU rRNA
Rfam family: Bacterial small subunit ribosomal RNA
Source: RNAcentral
UACAGGUGGUGCAUGGCUGUCGUCAGCUCGUGUCGUGAGAUGUUGGUUAAGUCCCGCAACGAGCGCAACCUUGUCUUAUGUUGCCAGCACGUGAUGGUGGGGACGUCGUAAGAGACUGCCGGGGUCAACUCGGAGGAAGGUGGGGACGACGUCAAGUCAUCAUGCCCCUUAUGUCCAGGGCUUCACACAUGCUACAAUGGCCAGUACAGAGGGCUGCGAGACCGUGAGGUGGAGCGAAUCCCUUAAAGCUGGUCUCAGUUCGGAUCGGGGUCUGCAACUCGACCCCGUGAAGUCGGAGUCGCUAGUAAUCGCAGAUCAGCAACGCUGCGGUGAAUACGUUCCCGGGCCUU